GCCAGUGUGAUGUAGUGGUUUGAGCACUGGACUACAACUCUGGAAUCCAGGGUUCAAAUCCAUCCUUUGGCC
Non-coding RNA from Phrynosoma platyrhinos (Desert horned lizard), 72 nucleotides. The record is from the annotation of a GenBank genome assembly. NCBI's taxonomy places the organism in Eukaryota, Metazoa, Chordata, Lepidosauria, Squamata, Phrynosomatidae.